AGGAGGAACAACCACAGUGAAGGGGGCCAGCUCUUGAGCUCCGGAUUCAGCUCCGGCAGGAACUCCGGAGCUCUCCGUCUGCAGGGCCUGGAGGCUCCGGGGCGGG
Molecule: microRNA precursor, 106 nt
Filed under: Canis lupus familiaris (dog)
Lineage: Eukaryota; Metazoa; Chordata; Mammalia; Carnivora; Canidae
Also listed under: 1 other name
Description: mir-8834 microRNA precursor family
Rfam family: mir-8834 microRNA precursor family
Source: Rfam by way of RNAcentral